AAAUGUCUGCACGGGUGGCUGUCCCCUGCUCCCUCUGGCUUGCCCUGCCCUCUUGCAUCCAGGAGACCCUGAGGACCCCCCCGCACCCCAGGCAGGCCCACCACGGACAGCCAGUUUGGCCUUGCGGUCAGACGUGGGUGGCUGCGCCCUGCUUCCUCCGGCUUGCCCCAGACCACUGUACUUGAAUCGAUGGGGAAAUUAGAUACUUUCACGACAAAGAACACCUGAGAUAUUUCAUGAACACCAAACCAGCACUCCAAACAAUCCUAAGCAAUAUACUAGAAAAAGACAAUGAAGAUCACAGCUCCAUGAGGCCCAACAGAGGGAAGCCACCAGGAAAGGUAAGAAACAAAAGGGAAAGGGGGAAAAAUAACCCCAAGAAAUAAAAGAGCCAACAAUAGUAAAACAUCAUGACAAGGAUGAAUCAAUAUCUAUGAAUUAUAACUAUCAAUGUUAAUGGUCUCAAUUCACCACUCAAAAGAAAUAGAUUGACAGAAUGGAUUAAGAAGCAAAAUCCAACAAUAUGCUGUAUACAAGAAAC
This 541-nucleotide long non-coding RNA is filed under the name Heterocephalus glaber (naked mole-rat). RNAcentral describes it as "lncRNA (ENSHGLG00100039009.1)". Lineage: Eukaryota; Metazoa; Chordata; Mammalia; Rodentia; Bathyergidae. The record is from RNAcentral.